GUGGGGAAUCUUGCGCAAUGGGCGAAAGCCUGACGCAGCCAUGCCGCGUGAAUGAUGAAGGUCUUAGGAUUGUAAAAUUCUUUCACCGGGGACGAUAAUGACGGUACCCGGAGAAGAAGCUCCGGCUAACUUCGUGCCAGCAGCCGCGGUAAUACGAAGGGGGCUAGCGUUGCUCGGAAUUACUGGGCGUAAAGGGCGCGUAGGCGGACAGCUUAGUCAGAGGUGAAGGCUCAGGGCUCAACCUUGGAAUUGCCUUUGAUACUGGCUGUCUUGAGUUUGGGAGAGGUGAGUGGAACUCCGAGUGUAGAGGUGAAAUUCGUAGAUAUUCGGAAGAACACCAGUGGCGAAGGCGACUCACUGGCCCAAUACUGACGCUGAGGCGCGAAAGCGUGGGGAGCAAACAGGAUUAGAUACCCGGGUAGUCC
Molecule: ribosomal RNA, 425 nt
Filed under: uncultured bacterium
Lineage: Bacteria
Description: partial 16S ribosomal RNA
Rfam family: Bacterial small subunit ribosomal RNA
Source: RNAcentral